RNAcentral lists this ribosomal RNA (219 nucleotides) under uncultured prokaryote. RNAcentral describes it as "partial 16S ribosomal RNA". It matches the Rfam family "Bacterial small subunit ribosomal RNA", at positions 524 to 742 of the family's 1533-position model. The record is from RNAcentral.
UACGUAGGGACCAAGCGUUGUUCGGAUUUACUGGGCGUAAAGGGCGCGUAGGCGGCUCAGUAAGGUUGCGGUGAAAGCCCGGGGCUCAACCCCGGGUCGGCCGUGGCAACUGCUGGGCUGGAGCACUGUAGAGGCAGGUGGAAUUCCGGGUGUAGCGGUGAAAUGCGUAGAUAUCCGGAGGAACACCGGUGGCGAAGGCGGCUUCCUGGACCGACACUG